This 497-nucleotide ribosomal RNA is filed under the name uncultured bacterium. RNAcentral's name for it is "partial 16S ribosomal RNA". It matches the Rfam family "Bacterial small subunit ribosomal RNA", at positions 28 to 507 of the family's 1533-position model. The record is from RNAcentral.
GAUGAACGCUGGCGGCGUGCCUAAUACAUGCAAGUCGAGCGAACAGACGAGGAGCUUGCUCCUCUGACGUUAGCGGCGGACGGGUGAGUAACACGUGGAUAACCUACCUAUAAUACUGGGAUAACUUCGGGAAACCGGAGCUAAUACCGGAUAAUAUAUUGAACCGCAUGGUUCAAUAGUGAAAGACGGUUUUGCUGUCACUUAUAGAUGGAUCCGCGCCGCAUUAGCUAGUUGGUAAGGUAACGGCUUACCAAGGCAACGAUGCGUAGCCGACCUGAGAGGGUGAUCGGCCACACUGGAACUUAGCCACGGUCCAGACUACUACGGGAGGCAGCAGUAGGGAAUCUUCCGCAAUGGGCGAAAGCCUGACGGAGCAACGCCGCGUGAGUGAUGAAGGUCUUCGGAUCGUAAAACUCUGUUAUUAGGGAAGAACAAAUGUGUAAGUAACUAUGCACGUCUUGACGGUACCUAAUCAGAAAGCCACGGCUAACUACGUG